AUAGCGUAUAUUAAAGUUGUUGCGGUUAAAAAGCUCGUAGUUGAAUCUGUGUGCCACGCUGUCGGUUCACCGCUCGCGGUGUUUAACUGGCAUGACUGUGGGACGUCCUACCGGUGGGCUUAGCUCCUUCGGGGGCGGCCCAACUAAUAUCCCAUCGCGGUGCUCUUCGCUGAGUGUCGAGGUGGGCCGGUACGUUUACUUUGAACAAAUUAGAGUGCUUAAAGCAGGCUAUUUUCGCCUGAAUACUGUGUGCAUGGAAUAAUGGAAUAGGACCUCGGUUCUAUUUUGUUGGUUUUCGGAACCCCGAGGUAAUGAUUAACAGGAACAGAUGGGGGCAUUCGUAUUGCGACGUUAGAGGUGAAAUUCUUGGAUCGUCGCAAGACGGACAGAAGCGAAAGCAUUUGCCAAAAAUGUUUUCAUUAAUCAAGAACGAAAGUUAGAGGUUCGAAGGCGAUCAGAUACCGCCCUAGUUCUAACCAUAAACGAUGCCAGCUAGCGAUCCGCCGAAGUUCCUCCGAUGACUCGGCGGGCAGCUUCCGGGAAACCAAAGCUUUUGGGUUCCGGGGGAAGUAUGGUUGCAAAGCUGAAACUUAAAGGAAUUGACGGAAGGGCACCACCAGGAGUGGAGCCUGCGGCUUAAUUUGACUCAACACGGGAAACCUCACCAGGCCCGGACACCGGAAGGAUUGACAGAUUGAGAGCUCUUUCUUGAUUCGGUGGGUGGUGGUGCAUGGCCGUUCUUAGUUGGUGGAGCGAUUUGUCUGGUUAAUUCCGAUAACGAACGAGACUCUAGCCUGCUAAAUAGGCGUACUUUCCGGUAUCUCGAAGGCCCCCGGCUUCGGUCGGGCGGUUUUUACUACCGGCGUACAAAUUAAUCUUCUUAGAGGGAU
RNAcentral lists this ribosomal RNA (890 nucleotides) under Abia cf. lonicerae Sus10. RNAcentral's name for it is "SSU rRNA". It matches the Rfam family "Eukaryotic small subunit ribosomal RNA", at positions 594 to 1420 of the family's 1831-position model. The record is from RNAcentral. Lineage: Eukaryota; Metazoa; Arthropoda; Insecta; Hymenoptera; Cimbicidae.